GUCAAUGUAGCUUAAAACUAAAGCAAGGCACUGAAAAUGCCUAGAUGAGUGCACCACACCCCAUAGACA
RNAcentral lists this transfer RNA (69 nucleotides) under Macroglossus sobrinus. Its description in RNAcentral is "tRNA-Phe". It matches the Rfam family "tRNA". Rfam says of the family: Transfer RNA (tRNA) molecules are approximately 80 nucleotides in length. Their secondary structure includes four short double-helical elements and three loops (D, anti-codon, and T loops). The record is from RNAcentral. Lineage: Eukaryota; Metazoa; Chordata; Mammalia; Chiroptera; Pteropodidae.